Molecule: long non-coding RNA, 2609 nt
Organism: Xiphophorus couchianus (Monterrey platyfish)
Lineage: Eukaryota; Metazoa; Chordata; Actinopteri; Cyprinodontiformes; Poeciliidae
Exons: 3
Source: RefSeq, a predicted model, not a curated record
UGUAGGUGCGGCGUAUAGUCCGGAAAAUACAGUAUUCAUUUAUGGGGCUUCCUUUUGAAUAGAAUAGUGACUUGCUUGGAUUCGUUCAGCUGUAUAGUAGCAUUAUGUCGCCUAGUUUUCUCACAGUUAUGUCAAAAGGUACAUUCAGUGGAGGGAUCAGUGGUAGAAAAAAAAAGAAUUAAAAAAAAGACAAGAAAAAAGAUUGUUGCUGCCCUGAGAGCAACAUGAGGCACUAGUUUAGAUAUGUCGGAAUUUUGCGUCCUCUUGUGGUUACUUUUAAAAACAGCAGUCAUUUCACAGUUUGUAUUACUCCCUCAAAGACCCGCCUACCAGGUCGUAGCUUAUUGGUCAGCUGUUCUUAUAGAGGCACGGGAUUGGUCCGGAGGCGAUUGUCGUCAGCGAAGUCGGAAAACAAUAAACACACGGUUAAAUGGUAUUUAGUAACUUACAGUCUCCGAAAUGCCAACAUCUCCUGUGAAAACCCGGAUCCCCUCACCAGCUUCGGUCAUCUCAUCACAGAGGUGAAGAAGCAGCUGUUUGGCAUCGAAGGACCCUCAUCUGUGCAGCUGACCGGUUGGAGGAAAUACUGCAAUAGCUACACGCUGCAGGGCCUCAGAAACAUACAUAAUGCACUUAAAUACAGCACUUCACAUACAGCACAUAUUUAAAACAUAUAUCCAGUCCAGGAUAGCAAUUCAUGAAAAACAAUUGUUAUACUUUCAAUUUUUCACAUUUUGUACGCUAAAGCCACUAACUUCAGUUUACUUAGCUGGGAUCAGAUGUGAUAGGGCAUCACAGAUAAUGCAUACUUGUAAAGUGGAAGGAAAAGGUGACUUUUUUUUAAUUGCCGUAUUAUUUGUUUAACUAUGACUCCUUCAGUAUUUAUAAAAAUGCUAUAUAUAUAUAUAUAUAUAUAUAUAUAUAUAUAUAUAUAUAUAUAAUUGAUUUCAUAAUUUAAUGCCUUGAAAUGAGGCUUCUGUCUCUUUAAACUCCUGCUCUUCCUGAAACUCCACCUUUAAGGAAGUCAUCAUAACAUCGCUCCUCUAUUAAACCUUUUUGCUGAGAAGGGGCUCCUAUAAUAAACUUGUAAAAUUCAGCUUGAUUUAAAGCAGAACUCACAAUAUACUGAAGGGGGAUCUGUCACAGGAAUCAGGUAAAAUAUGUUACACCGUUUAGUUUGAUAAGAAAAUAAAUAUCCAACCACUCAAUAUGAAAUUUGUUGAUUUUUAGCAACAAUGAUUUAUUCAAAAAAAACCACAAUACUGAGAAAUAGUAAUAGUUAUUCUGAAAAAUAAUCAGUAACCAAAAAUCCCUCAAAAAUAAUUAUAGGUAAGAUUUAAAUCACUCAGUUUAUGUCAGCAAAAAGAAAAAAACCCUAAAUAAUUAAAUGUCCAAAAAUUCCCGUUCUUUUUUAGUCAGAAUAAUGUCCGAAAAGGAGUCCCAUAUCCUCAAAAACCAAAACAAAGUCCUGGAAGCAUUUCUCCAUUUUAAUCCAAAAUGAAAAAUCCAAAAUGUCAAAAACCCCAAAAGGAAGAGAAAAAACAGUGGUACCACCAAAAAUCCCAAAAAAGAAAAGUAAAGUUCUGAUCUCACGGGGUGCAUAAGCACCGGAACAGGGGGGCCCAGGGGACCAUUGCCCCCCUCCUCCCACUUCACGGCCCUGCCCAGCUGGUCCCGCCAGACAUUUACACAAGCUGCACACAACUCUGACAAUCUGUGACUGACAUCUCUGUGUUUGUAUGCAGAUAAAACCUCCAGCACUGAGAUCUGGACCAAAUCUAAUCUAAGGCUCCAGAUCAGAACAGUCAAAGGUUUACACACAUGCGGCAGCUUCGGGUCGGGUUGGGAUUAUGAACUGGUCUGACAUCUGAAAAAAGGAUUGGACUCUGAUCCGGUCCAGGUCCGAACCAAUUGUGCCUAAAACUGAAAUGAGAUUUCUGUAUUUGUCACCAUUUAUAGAACCGUGAUGAUGUUUUCUUUCUAAUGGCGUUGGGAUGAGAAAAAAAAGAACAUCGGGCCCAUUUCCUUUUACAGUCCGGACCAAAUGCUCAGAGCAGAUCAUUUUGACUAUAAUUGCGUGAAUUAUUAUUAUUUUUUUCCUCUUUGCUCUUCCAAAAACCAAUGAGCCAUCAGUAGCCAUAAAUAUCGAUGGCUGCUGAUGGUUUUCAGGUGUCUGUUUCUGUUGAAAUUCAUUUUUGUCUGCUAAGUAAAAAACACAUUAAAGUUUAUUCAUGGUGUUUUUCAUUUUGUUUUUAAUGCAAAGAUAUUGACAUCUCUUUCCACACAGUUUGUGGAACAUGCAGCAAAUAUAAUCUGCGCUGCCUUUUGGUUUCAGACCCAGAUCAUCCAGAUAGCUGCUGCUGCUGCUGUGUGUGGUUUGGCGAACUGAAGAGCUGACGGGUCACCCGGCUGGACAACUGUUUAACCCGUUACUGGUGCCUUCACACCAGUGAUGUAAUGAUGACGAAACCUUCAUACAAUCACACACGGUGUUUUAAUACCGUCGAUCUGUAUUCAGCUGUUCUUGGUGCUGCAGGCAUUUCUCCGAAUUUUACAUUUUUCCAGACUCCAGUUUGGAAAAAGGAAUAAAGUCCAUUCCACCAUCUAAA